UGUAUAUAUGUGUGCAUGCAUGCAUGCAUGCAUGCAUGUGUGUGUGUGUGUGUGUGUGUGUGUGUG
Molecule: microRNA precursor, 66 nt
Filed under: Notamacropus eugenii (tammar wallaby)
Lineage: Eukaryota; Metazoa; Chordata; Mammalia; Diprotodontia; Macropodidae
Description: miRNA (ENSMEUG00000016804.1)
Source: RNAcentral